UUCAGCAUGUGCUGGGCACUGGAGACACAGGACGAAUCCGAUGCAGCCUCUAGGAGUUGGUAGUUAUUAGAAGCGAAGGACAGCAAGCUGGAGGAAAGGCGAAACUGGAGAGACGGAGACAGCUGGUUGGCAUAAGAGCAUCGGCCUGAGAAUGUCAGAACUGAGGAAGAUUUGGUAGUGUGCCAAAGUGCUGGUUAUCACAGAGUUUCAUCUCAGCACAAAACUGCCCAGCUAAAGGAUGGUGAACUGAGUCCAGAAAUGAUAUCUUUUUGUUUUCUGUUUAUUCCUGGUGUUCCUGAGUACAAGGACCAGAUAACCACGUCCUAAAUGUUCCACGGAAUGUGAAUGUGUGUAUCAGGAAAAAAAAGAAAAGAUUCCACAGUCUUUUCCUAGACUAGAAAAAAAGACUUCUAGUCUAGGAAAGGCUAGAAUCAGCAAAACACAAAGGUGUCUUUGCUGCUGGACUUCUCAGAGACUUGUACAUACCCAAGUGUACUGUGACACUUAGUGAGGAGGAUGGAGUGAGCAGCAUCUCCUAAGCUAUUGUGAUGACAGACACCAUCUGAUAGCUGGAGAAAUCUUCUCCAGAACAAAGCUUGGGACAUGCUUUCCCGGAUCGUGCAUUUGCUACAGGAGCGAGACAGACUGACGAUUCAGAAUGCUACCACCCGCAGGCUGCAAAGUCUUCAUGAUGACAGCUGCUGACAGAGCUACUUCAUGGAUUGAAUAUCAGCUAUGAGCUGGGUGCUUUACCAUAAGGAAACAGCUUUGCCAGGGAAGACAAAAGUUAAAGCAUCUUCAAGGAAAAGGCUUUCUGGUAAGGCAUUUGCUAAAUCAGGAAAGCUGCUUUACCAAAGGAUGGAGGCUGUGUGAGACUCACCCAGGGACCUGCCCUCAGUACCAGGACUGGCUAAUUUGCAGGAUCCAGUGCAAAAUAAACAUGUAGGCUCCCGUGUUUUAAUGUGACUAAGAAUUUCAAGAUAAUGACAGCAGAGCAUCAUAGCAAGCACGAGGUUCUCCUAACAACACAGAGGUUGCACCCCGUGAAGCCUACCAUAUGCAAAAAGUGCCUUCUGUAGGAGCCGCAGCCCUGGACCUCAUGGGAACCAAUCCGAUUGUGCCAAACAUCACCUCCUCCUCCCUUCCUUCAGUGUGCUGCUCCCAGACGGGCCUCCUCCCACUCUGCCUCAGCAGGAAGCUGGUUCUGCCGGCUCUCAAUGACUCAGCAGCUGAUUAAGCAACGUGCUGGGAGAUUACCCAGAGGCAGCAUGAAAUCGUGGCAGGAGAUUAGGAGUUCAAAUUCCGGCUUUUACUCCUUACCUCUCAACUACGUUGGGCGAUUUUAUGUCCAUUUUCUGUACCUUAGAAAGACCCUUUGGAAAAAGAGGUUGGAAAUAAUGCCUAGGCUGGAAACUGUGUGGUGCGAGCAGCCAGCAAACACAGUGACAAAUGAGUCCGCCUUUUGCAAGUGGGCCAGUUCCUCACAGGUAUAGGAUUUUUUAAUUUCCUCUCUUG
RNAcentral lists this long non-coding RNA (1515 nucleotides) under Homo sapiens (human). Its description in RNAcentral is "HSALNT0098222". Lineage: Eukaryota; Metazoa; Chordata; Mammalia; Primates; Hominidae. The record is from RNAcentral.